RNAcentral lists this ribosomal RNA (499 nucleotides) under uncultured bacterium. Its description in RNAcentral is "bacterial SSU rRNA". It matches the Rfam family "Bacterial small subunit ribosomal RNA", at positions 381 to 873 of the family's 1533-position model. The record is from RNAcentral.
CCGUGACGGGGCGACGCCGCGUGCAGGAUGAAGGCCUUCGGGUUGUAAACUGCUGUUACACUUACCAACGCUCGGAAGUUAAUAGCUCUCCGAGACGAGCAAGGUGGGAGAAAGCACAGGCUAACUCCGUGCCAGCAGCCGCGGUAAUACGGAGUGUGCAAGCGUUACUCGGAAGUCACUGGGCAUAAAGCGCGCGUAGGCCGGACCUCAAGUCGGUUGUGAAAUCCCUCAGCUCAACUGAGGAGCUGCAGCCGAUACUGCGGUCCUUGAGGACAAAAGGGGAGAGCGGAACUUCUGGUGAAGCGGUGAAAUGCGUAGAUAUCAGAAGGAACGCCGGUGGCGAAAGCGGCUCUCUGGUUUGUUUCUGACGCUGAGGCGCGAAAGCUUGGGUAGCAAACGGGAUUAGAUACCCCGGUAGUCCAAGCCGUAAACGAUGAGUACUAGGUAGAGGAGGCCUCGUCGCCUUCUCUGCUGGAGCAAAUGUAUUAAGUACUCCGCC